Bombus terrestris (buff-tailed bumblebee) is the source of this 1079-nucleotide long non-coding RNA. RefSeq lists it as uncharacterized. The transcript is spliced from 2 exons. The record is from RefSeq and is a predicted model, not a curated record. Lineage: Eukaryota; Metazoa; Arthropoda; Insecta; Hymenoptera; Apidae.
CUUACAAAUCGAUUUUCACUACGCCAUGCCGUUAGAAGUGAAGCUACGUAUCGCCAUGAACGAGAACGCAAGGGGGGGGGGGGGAAAUAGAAUGCAUAAGAAUCCAUAAGAAAACCAAAAGAUGAAGUAUGUGAUGUCUUUCCUCCAGAAUAUCAAGCAAGAGAUCAUCAUCCGCGGUUAUUCAGUUUAUCGAUAGUGAAGAAAGCCGCAAACAACUUAACCAAGAGAUCUUCCAGAAACAAAACAUGCAUGAGAGAGAAGGCACAGACUUUGUCAUAAAACAAUUUGAUGGAACGCAAAAAGCCACAGAUUGGAGUAUGAAAUAUUCAUAUUUCACAUAAGCAUCCCUUCCAUACUCUAAUAUGAGUAUGAAACCGAAUACGAAAAAUACAAAAUCCAAACUGAUGAAAAAAGGAUCAAGAAUUUGAAGAAAUAUUUGGAAAAAAUAGCAUCAGAAUGGUACCAAGCAAAUCUGCUGAAGGAUGAAGAAUACAACUGGGAAAAUUGGAAGGUGGCAGUUCAAAAAGCUUGUGGCAAUAAAGGUUGGUCUGCAGUACGAUACACUUAUAACUUUAAAUACAUUUCAGGUUCAUUCACUGAAUAUGUCAUAAAAAAGGAAUGAUUAAUAUUGGAAGUAAGGAGGAAGACUUCUGAAGAGACAGGGAUAAAUCUAAUUGUUAUUGGAUUACCCAUACACAUUCAAGAUAAAAUCGAUAAAGAAACAGUACAAUCAACAAAUGGCUUAAUCAGAUUCUUGGGGCAAUAUCAGACAAAGGGAAGAAAAACACAAGGGAGUAACACAAGAUUGGACAGAAAGCCAGAGCCACUGCCCAAGAAACAACCUUGUGUGAUUUAUGAAGCACUGAAUUUCCCAGGUCGAUUUCACCCAAUAACAACUCACCAAAGAAAUACAUGCACAUACUCAUGGAUCAUUUUUCAAGGGCUGUUUCUAUGUCCACAUUGAAAACACAACACACAGAAGAUAUCAUAAAACUUAUAGACUCAACAGGAGAAACUGAUUCCAUACAAAUUAUCCUUGCAAACCGAUACCCAGUAAUGACAUCCAAAGAAAUUCAAGA